UUGGUUCUCUUUGACGAGCGGCGGACGGGUGAGUAAUGUAUGUGGAACUGUGCCCGAUAGAGGGGGAUAACUACUUGGCAAAGGAGUGGCUAAUACCGCAUAAUCUCUCUGGAGCAAAGCGGGGGAUCUUCGGUCCUCUCGCUAUAGGAUGAACCCAUAUGGGAUUAGCUAGUAGGUGGGGUAAAGGCUCACCUAGGCGACGAUCCCUAGCUGGUCUGAGAGGAUGAUCAGCCACACUGGGACUGAGACACGGCCCAGACUCCUACGGGAGGCAGCAGUGGGGAAUAUUGCACAAUGGGGGCAAGCCUGAUGCAGCCAUUCCGCGUGUAUGAAGAAGGCCUUAGGGUUGUAAAGUACUUUCAGCAGGGAGGAAGGGGUUGAGGCUAAUAUCAUCAACGAUUGACGUUACCUGCAGAAGAAGCACCGGCUAACUCCGUGCCAGCAGCCGCGGUAAUACGCAGGGUGCAAGCGUUAAUCGGAAUUACUGGGCGUAAAGCGCGCGCAGGCGGUCAGUAAAGUUAGAUGUGAAAUCCCCGGGCUCAACCUGGGAACUGCAUUUAUGACUGGCCAGCUAGAGUCUUGUAGAGGGGGGUAGAAUUCCAGGUGUAGCAGUGAAAUGCGUAGAAAUGUGGAGGAAUACCG
Molecule: ribosomal RNA, 642 nt
Filed under: Klebsiella pneumoniae
Lineage: Bacteria; Pseudomonadati; Pseudomonadota; Gammaproteobacteria; Enterobacterales; Enterobacteriaceae
Description: bacterial SSU rRNA
Rfam family: Bacterial small subunit ribosomal RNA
Source: RNAcentral